AUGGUGCCCUCCAGCCUGCUGUGGGCCCUGGUGGCCUUCACCUGCUCUGGCUCCAGUGUGGCCCAGAAAGUUAUUCAAGACCAGCCAGCUACAGCCUCGCGAGAGGGGUCAGCAGUCACUCUGAAGUGCCGGUAUGAAACAAGCCUGAGUGCAUACUCCCUUUACUGGUACAAGCAGCCUCCUGAUGGAAACAUGACUUACAUUAUUCAUCAGCUUUCUUCUUCUAACAUUAAUGAAGUACAGGGUCGCUAUUCUAUAAACUUCCAGAAAGCAGAGAAAACCAUCUCCCUCACGAUUACACCCUUACAAUUGGACGAUUCAGCAAUGUAUUUCUGUGCUCUCCGGGAACCCACUGUGUUUGAGGGUUCAGUAAAAGCUGAACAAAAACCCCAGAGCUCAAAAAGGGUGACCUCUGCUCAGGAGCCAAGCUGA
Molecule: non-coding RNA, 432 nt
Organism: Talpa occidentalis (Iberian mole)
Lineage: Eukaryota; Metazoa; Chordata; Mammalia; Eulipotyphla; Talpidae
Source: the annotation of a RefSeq genome assembly